UACGAACGCUGGCGGCAGGCCUAACACAUGCAAGUCGAACGAGGUAGCAAUACCUAGUGGCGCACGGGUGAGAAACGCGUGGGAAUCUCCCUUCUAGUACGGGAUAACACUGGGAAACUGGUGCUAAUACCGUAUGACCCCUCCGGGGGAAAGAUUUAUCGCUAGAAGAUGAGCCCGCGUAAGAUUAGCUAGUUGGUGAGGUAACGGCUCACCAAGGCUACGAUCUUUAGCUGGUCUUAGAGGACGAUCAGCCACACUGGAACUGAGACACGGUCCAGACUCCUACGGGAGGCUGCAGUGGGGAAUCUUGGACAAUGGGGGAAACCCUGAUCCAGCCAUGCCGCGUGAGUGAUGAAGGCCUUCGGGUUGUAAAGCUCUUUUGUGUGGGAAGAUAAUGACUGUACCACAAGAAUAAGCCCCGGCUAACUUCGUGCCAGCAGCCGCAGUAA
This 449-nucleotide ribosomal RNA is filed under the name uncultured bacterium. Its description in RNAcentral is "partial 16S ribosomal RNA". It matches the Rfam family "Bacterial small subunit ribosomal RNA", at positions 29 to 523 of the family's 1533-position model. The record is from RNAcentral.